GCAUAUCAAUAAGCGGAGGAAAAGAAAAUAACAAUGAUUCCCUCAGUAACGGCGAGCGAAGAGGGAUAAGCUCAAAUUUUAAAUCUGUUGGGUUCCACUUAACAGAGUUGUAUUUUGAAGAAACGUUUUCUGCGUCCAGGAUUAGCCUAAAUCCUUUGGGAUAAGGUAUCAUGGAGGGUGAGAAUCCCGUUCAUGGUUAAUCUUAAGGAAGCUCUACGAUACGUUUUCCAAGAGUCGAGUUGUUUGGGAUUGCAGCUCAAAAUGGGAGGUAAAUUUCUCCUAGGGCUAAAUAUUGGCGAGAGACCGAUAGCGAACAAGUACCGUGAGGGAAAGAUGAAAAGAACUUUGAAAAGAGAGUUAAACAGUACGUGAAAUUGUUGAAAGGGAAACGAUUGAAGUCAGUCAUACCAACGGGAAAUCAACCUUUUGAGCUCGGUCUCGUGGGUUUUGAAGAGUUUCAAAGCCUUCGGAUUCGCGGGAUUGGGAUCUCUUGGUGUACUUUUUCGUACGGUUAGUCAACAUCGGUUUUGAAUGUCAUAAAAUGACUGGAGGAAUGUAGCUUCGAUCUCGUAUUGAAGUGUUAUAGCCUUUGGUAGAUGUGAUGUUUGAGACCGAGGAUUGCAACGGAUACCCUUCAGGGCUAUUCGUCUGAUCUCUGAUACGUUGCCUUGAUGUUGAAAGCUUGCUUAUGAUGUUAGGGUAUUACGGUCAAAAGGUUAGAACGAAUUACAUUCGUUAAGGAUGUUGACGUAAUGGCUUUAAACGAC
Molecule: ribosomal RNA, 767 nt
Filed under: uncultured Glomus
Lineage: Eukaryota; Fungi; Glomeromycota; Glomeromycetes; Glomerales; Glomeraceae
Description: eukaryotic LSU rRNA
Rfam family: Eukaryotic large subunit ribosomal RNA
Source: RNAcentral